RNAcentral lists this ribosomal RNA (510 nucleotides) under uncultured bacterium. RNAcentral describes it as "bacterial SSU rRNA". It matches the Rfam family "Bacterial small subunit ribosomal RNA", at positions 8 to 507 of the family's 1533-position model. The record is from RNAcentral.
AGAGUUUGAUCCUGGCUCAGAGUGAACGCUGGCGGCAGGCCUAAUACAUGCAAGUCGAACGGCAGCACAGCAGAGCUUGCUCUGUGGGUGGCGAGUGGCGGACGGGUGAGGAAUACAUGGGAAUCUGCCCAGUCGUGGGGGAUAACGUAGGGAAACUUACGCUAAUACCGCAUGCGCCCUUCGGGGGAAAGCCGGGGACCUUCGGGCCUGGCGCGAUUGGAUGAGCCCAUGUCGGAUUAGCUAGUUGGCGGGGUAAUGGCCCACCAAGGCGACGAUCCGUAGCUGGUCUGAGAGGAUGAUCAGCCACACUGGAACUGAGACACGGUCCAGACUCCUACGGGAGGCAGCAGUAGGGAAUAUUGGACAAUGGGCGCAAGCCUGAUCCAGCCAUGCCGCGUGAGUGAAGAAGGCCCUCGGGUUGUAAAGCUCUUUUGUCCGGAAAGAAAAGCGCCGGGUUAAUACCCUAGUGUCCUGACGGUACCGGAAGAAUAAGCACCGGCUAACUUCGUG